GGGCCUGAAGCUCAACAGGAUCGAGCAACCGCUUCGUAUCGGUAGGAUGCAAGUUCGAGUCUUGCCAGGCCCA
Molecule: transfer RNA, 73 nt
Filed under: bacterium
Lineage: Bacteria
Description: tRNA-OTHER
Rfam family: tRNA
About the family: Transfer RNA (tRNA) molecules are approximately 80 nucleotides in length.
Source: RNAcentral